CCUACGGGCGGCAGCAGUGGGGAAUAUUGGACAAUGGGGGGAACCCUGAUCCAGCCAUGCCGCGUGUGUGAAGAAGGCCCUCGGGUUGUAAAGCACUUUCAGUGAGGAAGAACGCCUGGUGGUUAAUACCCAUCAGGAAAGACAUCACUCACAGAAGAAGCACCGGCUAACUCCGUGCCAGCAGCCGCGGUAAUACGGAGGGUGCGAGCGUUAAUCGGAAUUACUGGGCGUAAAGCGCGCGUAGGUGGCUUGAUAAGCCGGUUGUGAAAGCCCCGGGCUCAACCUGGGAACGGCAUCCGGAACUGUCAAGCUAGAGUGCAGGAGAGGAAGGUAGAAUUCCCGGCGUAGCGGUGAAAUGCGUAGAGAUCGGGAGGAAUACCAGUGGCGAAGGCGGCCUUCUGGACCGACACUGACACUGAGGUGCGAAAGCGUGGGUAGCAAACAGGAUUAGAUACCCCAGUAGUC
This 465-nucleotide ribosomal RNA is filed under the name Vreelandella stevensii. RNAcentral's name for it is "partial 16S ribosomal RNA". It matches the Rfam family "Bacterial small subunit ribosomal RNA", at positions 338 to 795 of the family's 1533-position model. The record is from RNAcentral. Lineage: Bacteria; Pseudomonadati; Pseudomonadota; Gammaproteobacteria; Oceanospirillales; Halomonadaceae.